RNAcentral lists this long non-coding RNA (232 nucleotides) under Vitis vinifera (wine grape). RNAcentral describes it as "long non-coding RNA (VVIN_LNC007622)". Lineage: Eukaryota; Viridiplantae; Streptophyta; Magnoliopsida; Vitales; Vitaceae. The record is from RNAcentral.
GGUUUCUGAACUCAGCUCAUCUUGCUGGGGAUACGGUUCAUUCAUGACUUCCACAGCUGCGCUAAAGAAAAUAUCAUAAACCAGAUUUAUGGGGACGACAGCCUGUAGCGAACGAAGAACAUGGUCGACAAGCCGAGCAGUGGGGUAAAAGGAUAGCGGUAGGAUAACAGGAUAAACAUACCAGGCCUACAUUAUGAGCUUCUGAAUCUCCAACUUCUGAACCCGCAGGCUC